GGACCCGCACAAGCGGUGGAGCAUGUGGUUUAAUUCGAUGCAACGCGAAAAACCUUACCUACACUUGACAUACUUCGAAUUUUCUAGAGAUAGAUUAGUGCCUUCGGGAGCGAAGAUACAGGUGCUGCAUGGCUGUCGUCAGCUCGUGUCGUGAGAUGUUGGGUUAAGUCCUAUAACGAGCGCAACCCUUACCCUUAUUUGCCAGCGGUUAGGCCGGGAACUAUAAGGGAACUGCCGGUAAUAAGCCGGAGGAAGGUGGGGACGACGUCAAGUCAUCAUGGCCCUUACGUGUAGGGCUACACACGUGCUACAAUGGGAGAUACAGACGGCUGCAAACCAGCGAUGGGGAG
This 350-nucleotide ribosomal RNA is filed under the name uncultured bacterium. Its description in RNAcentral is "bacterial SSU rRNA". It matches the Rfam family "Bacterial small subunit ribosomal RNA", at positions 917 to 1267 of the family's 1533-position model. The record is from RNAcentral.